This 1400-nucleotide ribosomal RNA is filed under the name uncultured fungus. Its description in RNAcentral is "eukaryotic LSU rRNA". The stretch from base 767 to 1400 matches the Rfam family "Eukaryotic large subunit ribosomal RNA", at positions 1 to 649 of the family's 3401-position model. The record is from RNAcentral. Lineage: Eukaryota; Fungi.
AAGUCGUAACAAGGUUUCCGUUGAAGACAUCCUUCCUUGAAGCCUUUCCACACAACGACUCUAACCACCUGUGUGCAGUCGUUCCACGGGCAACGUCACCGAUGUGCUGGAACACCGCCCCUGGGUGAACCAGCAGCUGAAUUUCACCCGAGAUUCGGUUCACAGAUUAGAUGGUGACGGUCAGCUUCGGUCCCCUGCGGGAUCCCCGCUGAUGAAGAUAUAACCGGUCGAGCAUCGAUCAGAUGCCCGAGAAACGUUCCGUAGGUGAACCUGCGGAAGGAUCAUUAUCGAGUUUGGGUCCUCUGGGCCCCCUCUCCAACCCUUGUCUAUUCUACCACGUUGCUUCGGCGGGCCCGUCCCUCACCGGACCGCCGGGGAUUCACGUCCCUGGCCCGCGCCCGUCAGUAGCCCCCCCCCAAAACUCUCUGAAUCGUGUCGUCUAAGCAAGCUAUAAUAACUAAAACUUUCAACAACGGAUCUCUUGGUUCUGGCAUCGAUGAAGAACGCAGCGAAAUGCGAUAAGUAAUGUGAAUUGCAGAAUUCAGUGAAUCAUCGAAUCUUUGAACGCACAUAGCGCCCCUUGGUAUUCCGAGGGGCAUGCCUAUUCGAGCGUCAUUAUCACCCCUCAAGCUCCGGCUUGGUGUUGAGGCCUGCUGUAAAGGCACCCUCUAAAAUCAGUGGCAGUGCCGUCCGGCUCUAAGCGUAGUAAACACGUCGCUAUAGACUCGUGCGGUCCCUCGCCAGAAACCCCCCAUUUCUUAAUGAUUGACCUCGGAUUAGGUAGGGAUACCCGCUGAACUUAAGCAUAUCAAUAAGCAGAGGAAAAGAAACCAACAGGGAUUGCCUCAGUAACGGCGAGUGAAGCGGCAAAAGCUCAAAUUUGAAAUCUGGCUCUUUUAGGGUCCGAGUUGUAAUUUGCAGAAGAUGUUUCGGGUGUGGCUCCGGUUUAAGUUCUUUGGAAUAUUACAUCAUAGAGGGUGAGAAUCCCGUAUGUGACCGGCAGCCUUCGCCCAUGCGAAACUCUUUCGACGAGUCGAGUUGUUUGGGAAUGCAGCUCAAAAUGGGAGGUAUAUUUCUUCUAAAGCUAAAUAUAGGCCAGAGACCGAUAGCGCACAAGUAGAGUGAUCGAAAGAUGAAAAGCACUUUGGAAAGAGAGUUAAACAGUACGUGAAAUUGUUGAAAGGGAAGCGCUUGCAACCAGACUUGCACGCAGUUGAUCAUCCGGGGUUCUCCCCGGGGCACUCGGCUGCGUUCAGGCCAGCAUCGGUUUUGGUGGUUGGAUAAAGGCCUUGGGAAUGUGGCUUCCUUCGGGGAGUGUUAUAGCCCUCGGUGCAAUGCAGCCUACCGGGACCGAGGACCGCGCUUCGGCUAGGAUGCUGGCGUAAUGGUUGUAAGCGACC